Molecule: unclassified non-coding RNA, 247 nt
Filed under: Hevea brasiliensis (rubber tree)
Lineage: Eukaryota; Viridiplantae; Streptophyta; Magnoliopsida; Malpighiales; Euphorbiaceae
Source: RNAcentral
CUGCAAACUAACAAUUUUUUACUUCUAAUAGUACCAGUAGGGGGAUUAUUUUUGAAGAAUCUCAUUCAGUUCUACUUACCUUUGCAGGCGCUCCUGAUCUUGUGCGUCUUCUUGUAUUGGUGGUUCCUGCGGUUGAAACUGAAUGAUUUCAGGCUGUUGUUCACCUUCUAGGCGUGCAUAUCUGUACGAAACAAAACCACAGAAGCACAGGUUACAGAAACUGAGGAUUGCUAGCAACCGAAAAUAC